Molecule: transfer RNA, 72 nt
Filed under: Camelus ferus (Wild Bactrian camel)
Lineage: Eukaryota; Metazoa; Chordata; Mammalia; Artiodactyla; Camelidae
Rfam family: tRNA
About the family: Transfer RNA (tRNA) molecules are approximately 80 nucleotides in length. Their secondary structure includes four short double-helical elements and three loops (D, anti-codon, and T loops).
Source: Rfam by way of RNAcentral
GAGGGUGUAGCUCAGUGGUAGAGGGCAUGCCUAGCAUGCAAAAGGUCCUGGGUUUGAGCCCCAGUACUUCCA